GAGGGGCAAACUAGUCAAUUCUCACUAUUAAUUAAUCAUGGUUAAGUAGUUUAACUGUGGUUAAAUAAAUUUCUCUAACAGACUCUAACAGCAGGGACAUAUUUGCAUAACAUUACACUUUUGCAGGGACAACUUAUGGAGUUUCCAAUUUGCAGGGAUAUUUCUGCAAUUCACUAUGUUUGCAGGGACCUGUAUGCAAAUAAGUGCUUUUACUUUUUACCUUUUCAAAUAUACCCUUCUAUCAGCACUAACUUUUCUUAUUUGCCUUUAAGUUAAGGACAAAAGAGGUUUUUGAUUUUUUUUUUAAACUCUAGUGAAAAUUUAAUUCGGAUUUAAUUGAAAAAAUUUGACAGGU
This 355-nucleotide long non-coding RNA is filed under the name Ananas comosus (pineapple). RNAcentral's name for it is "long non-coding RNA (ACOM_LNC026241)". The record is from RNAcentral. Lineage: Eukaryota; Viridiplantae; Streptophyta; Magnoliopsida; Poales; Bromeliaceae.